GUCCUAGCCGUAAACGAUGGACACUAGGUGUUGGUGGUAUCAACCCCGCCAGUGCCGUAGCUAACGCAUUAAGUGUCCCGCCUGGGGGAGUACGGCCGCAAGGCUAAAAACUCAAAGGAAUUGACGGGGGCCCGCACAAGCAGCGGAGCGUGGGGGUUUAAUUCGACGCAACGCGAAGAACCUUACCAGGGCUUGACAUGGUCAGGAGGUCGGCGGAAAACGUCGGCGCCUCGCAAGGGGGCCUGAUCACAGGUGUUGCAUGGCUGUCGU
This 270-nucleotide ribosomal RNA is filed under the name uncultured bacterium. Its description in RNAcentral is "partial 16S ribosomal RNA". It matches the Rfam family "Bacterial small subunit ribosomal RNA", at positions 793 to 1055 of the family's 1533-position model. The record is from RNAcentral.